Tympanuchus pallidicinctus (lesser prairie-chicken) is the source of this 1329-nucleotide long non-coding RNA. RefSeq lists it as uncharacterized. The transcript is spliced from 3 exons. The record is from RefSeq and is a predicted model, not a curated record. Lineage: Eukaryota; Metazoa; Chordata; Aves; Galliformes; Phasianidae.
GUCUCUGCAGCUCUGGAGUGUUCUUGCAUGGUGGUUAUCACUUCUGGAGGAAAGAGGUGACAGAAGCCCCUUUAAAUGAAAUAUCAGGGUUCUCAUUAGUGGCAUCUCUAGGGUAUUUCCUAGGCCAUUUCUCUCCCAGGACAGCCUUUGGAGCAGCCCCUGUCAGACAGGACGUAUGGUCUCCAACACACAGUGCUUUUAAGGCCAGAGAAAGCAGGAUCAUUUACCGUGUUGUUCCAGUGGCAUUUAUUGAAAUUUGCACAAAAAAAGGAUCUUUCUUCAAUGGCACUACUUCAAGCCACGCAAAAGAUUUAUGGGUACAGGAAGACAUCCAUGGCAGGGAUUCACUGGCAGAAAGGAAGGAGAGAAAGAAGAGGAAACAUGCUGGAAAAGUAGAGGACAUCUUGAGAGAUGAAUGGAGAGAAGCCAGGCACCGCUGGGGCAAAAGGCUGAGCACGGGAUUUGGCUGGCAGAAGAAAUGUGCUCUUCUACAUGGUGACACACUCAGUCAUGCAUGGGGCAAGGGCAAGGUCACGCUCAUGGGUGCGGACAUGAGUAUGGAUGUGGGCAUGGAUGUGGGCACGGCCAUGGGUAUCGACACGGGCAUGGAAAGGCAGUGGCACGUUGGCAGGAGCAGAGCAGGCAGCACGGACACACUGGUGUGCCUUCCAACACACGUGGGUUCAUGGAGGUCUUGUUGGGGACGGAGCUGCUGGAGUGUCCCUGCGCGUGUUGCACCCACAUGGAGCCCCCAUCCCAGCUGCAGGGGUUGGCCUGGAGAAGUGGCUCCUGGGGGGCGUUUGAACACACUCUGCAAGGAGCAGCACUCUUGAUUGUCACUCCUAUCUCUAAUCCUGCUUCAAAGCCAGCUCCUUUUAUUUACAUAUUGACGUAUGAUUCAUUUAAUUGACUUUCUUGCCUCGGAAUUGUACUUACUUAAUUAAUCUGAUUACAUUUCUGUUUCUAGUUACAGAGUUUCUGUGUUCCAGCCCAGCGGUGGCUGUGUUUCUAUGAAGUGCUGCAAUUCUGGUCGAUCUCCCCAGUAGAUAGAGUGUGCAAAGCAUUUUGGGAUCCUUUGGUAGGCAGGCAGAAGACAUGGAAAGUGCCGCAGCAAUUUCCAUUUUCACACACGCAGCAGCUUUACUUGUGGCAGAAGUAAGACACACUCCUAGUCAGUGGGAUUGAAUUAUCUCCAUAAAUUCAUUACAUUUUAAAAAAUAUGAUAAUCAGCACGAAAUGAACGUCCCAAGGGAGACAGAACAUGUACAUCUCAAGUACUGCUAAUAAUAAGCCUUUAAUUUACAAACGCCCAAGGCUGGCUCAAAGCCU